Molecule: ribosomal RNA, 252 nt
Filed under: uncultured bacterium
Lineage: Bacteria
Description: partial 16S ribosomal RNA
Rfam family: Bacterial small subunit ribosomal RNA
Source: RNAcentral
CGAACCGUGCGAACGUUAUUCGGAAUCACUGGGCUUAAAGCGCGUGUAGGCGGGGCGGCACGUCGGUCGCUGAAAGCCCCCGGCUCAACCGGGGAACGGGCGCCGAUACGACCGCCCUCGAGGGACGUAGGGGGACCUGGAACUUCCGGUGGAGCGGUGAAAUGCGUUGAGAUCGGAAGGAACGCCCGUGGCGAAAGCGAGGUCCUGGACGUCUGCUGACGCUGAGACGCGAAAGCCAGGGGAGCGAACGGG